UUGUGGCCCUCUGCUGGACUCUUUCCAGGCAGGAGCUCCCUGCCUUUUUUUUGCAUCAGGGAGCCCAGAACUGGAAACAGUAGCCCAGGUGAGGCCUGACCAAUA
This is a microRNA precursor of Gallus gallus (chicken), 105 nucleotides long. The record is from Ensembl. NCBI's taxonomy places the organism in Eukaryota, Metazoa, Chordata, Aves, Galliformes, Phasianidae.